GAUGAAGAACGCAGCGAAAUGCGAUAAGUAAUGUGAAUUGCAGAAUUCAGUGAACCAUCGAAUCUUUGAACGCACAUUGCGCCCGCCAGCAUUCUGGCGGGCAUGCCUGUUCGAGCGUCAUUUCAACCCUCGACCUCCCUUUGGGGAAGUCGGCGUUGGGGACCGGCAGCACACCGCCGGCCCUGAAAUGGAGUGGCGGCCCGUCCGCGGCGACCUCUGCGUAGUAAACCAACUCGCACCGGAACCCCGACGUGGCCACGCCGUAAAACACCCAACUUCUGAACGUUGACCUCGAAUCAGGUAGGACUACCCGCUGAACUUAAGCAUAUCAAUAAGCGGAGGA
RNAcentral lists this unclassified non-coding RNA (343 nucleotides) under soil metagenome. RNAcentral's name for it is "partial contains 5.8S ribosomal RNA, internal transcribed spacer 2, and large subunit ribosomal RNA". The stretch from base 1 to 120 matches the Rfam family "5.8S ribosomal RNA", at positions 35 to 154 of the family's 154-position model. The record is from RNAcentral.